RNAcentral lists this ribosomal RNA (382 nucleotides) under Salmonella enterica. RNAcentral's name for it is "bacterial SSU rRNA". It matches the Rfam family "Bacterial small subunit ribosomal RNA", at positions 1160 to 1533 of the family's 1533-position model. Lineage: Bacteria; Pseudomonadati; Pseudomonadota; Gammaproteobacteria; Enterobacterales; Enterobacteriaceae. The record is from RNAcentral.
AAACCGGAGGAAGGUGGGGAUGACGUCAAAUCAUCAUGCCCCUUAUGACCUGGGCUACACACGUGCUACAAUGGCUGGUACAACGAGUCGCGAGUCGGUGACGGCAAGCUAAUCUCUUAAAGCCAGUCUCAGUUCGGAUUGUAGGCUGCAACUCGCCUACAUGAAGUCGGAAUCGCUAGUAAUCGCGGAUCAGCACGCCGCGGUGAAUACGUUCCCGGGCCUUGUACACACCGCCCGUCACACCACGAGAGUUUGUAACACCCGAAGUCGGUGAGGUAACCAUUUGGAGCCAGCCGCCUAAGGUGGGAUAGAUGAUUGGGGUGAAGUCGUAACAAGGUAGCCGUAUCGGAAGGUGCGGCUGGAUCACCUCCUUUCUAAGGAA